AUGAUAAUCUCUAGCUGCAUCCAUGUUGCUCCAAAUGACACUAUUUUGUUCUUUUUAUGGCUUAAUAGUAUUCCAUUAUAUAUAGGUAACACAUCUUCUUAAUCCAUUCAUCUGUCGAUGGACAUUUAGGUUGUUUCCAUAUCUUGGCCAUUGUGAAGAGUGUUGCUAUGAACAUGGGGUCAUGUAUCUUUUUGAAUUAUAGUUUUGUCUAGAUAUAUGCUCACAAGUGGGAUUGCUGGAUCAUAUGGUAAUUUUAUUUUUAGUUUUUUGAGGAACCUCCAUACUGUUUUAUAUAGUGGUUAUACCAAUUUACAUCCUUACAACAGUGUAGGAGGGUUCCCUUUUCUUCAUACCCUCUCCAUCAUUUGUUAUUUGUAGACUUUUUAAUGGUGACCAUUCUGACUGGCGUGAGGUGGUAACUCAUUGUAGCUUUAAUUUGCAUUUCUCUAAUAAUUAGUGAUGCUGAACAUCUUUUCAUGGGCCUAGUGGCCAGAUCUUGAAAACAUUUCAUUGAUGGUCAGAUUCUGAUUACCACCUUUUAAAGAACGGCCAAGCCUUAACCUGGCAUUUGUUUUUUCCCAUCUCUAGAGUCUCAAGAUCCAGUUUUGUGGUUCUCAGUACUGAAUUCUCAUCCGUGAGUGGAACCUUGUGUCUUUUGGAGGCAGGUGGCACAAGAAGAGAUAAAUAUGUAUGUGAGAAACAUAGCUCAGGUUGUAUAAGAGAUAACCUGAGCUAUGAGUCAGAUAAAGGCUUUGGAAGCUUUUGGAGGGCAGGGUCAAUUUAUCAGUUGACUUGACUAACAGCCUAGCAUGACCUGAUAAGACAGACCGCAUACUCUAUGGGAAUUCUAAUGUUUACAAUGAUUUCUGGAAAAUAUUCAGGGCAUGACAAAAAGAAAAAAAAAUUAUUUUCUUUCUCUCUUCACAUAUAGAUUUGAAUGCAUCAGGGAAGAAAGGCUUUUAGUAUGUCUUUUGCUGUUUGCUUAUUUCCAGGAAGCUAUCAUUCUGAACCAAAUGCCAAGUUAAUAACGGGAUUCAAUCUAAAAUCCUUCAUAUUUAGGAUGAGGUUGCACAGUGCUACUAAUCACUUUCCCAUAUUAUUAAUUAUGGGUUUGAGAUAAUUGAGGACGUAUCCAUCUUAGUCCUCACAGGAAAAGAUACUUUGAUCUUUGUAUUAAAAAACAUUAGUAGGUCAAACAGAAUUUUUGUGCCUGCAUAUGUCUGUAAAGCAGUCAGCAUACACAUCAGGGGUUUUCUACUUCAAAUAGGCUUUGGUCAAGCCACUCUAAAAUCAGGUAUCCCCGGGUCAUGAAGGCAACAGCAGAUGAAGAAUAUAAAUAUACCUGAGUUCCCUUUCUGGAUCUACUACUGACUUGCUGAGUGAGUAUACCUACUUCUUCAUGUAUUUGGGCACCAGUUUUCUCAACCCUAAAAUGAGGAAGCUCAAAUGGAUAGUCCCCAGAAAAAAGGUCCCCUCUGAUAUUCAGUGAAGCAGCCAUUUUCCUGUCUUAAAUUCUUUAGGAAUAGAAUUUCAUAUUUUCCUCAUUAAAUCUUUCCUCAGAUUUGACUGAGGACAUACCUGAAAAAGAGAUGAAACUCAAGAUUUUAAAGCAUGCACUAUCUCUGAUUCUAUGCCAUAUUUUGGCAGUUGUUAUGUUCCUAGUCCUCAGUGAGUAGAUGGAUGAGGGGUACCUCAUUCUCUUUGUUAGUAAUAAAAUAUAAUGCCUAUGUAUUAUUACUGCUUAGACUGAAUCAUAUGUUUUGAGGUAGGUUCUGAAUCAUAUGGCCUGAGGUGGACUUUUAUUUGUCCAACUUAUUGGUGGAAUUACAUUUGUUGAGUUUUAACCUCUUGAGACUUUUUCCUCUCAAUCAUAAAGUAGGGAUUAUAAUAUCAACCUCAUCAAGUAGUUUAGAAAAUCAACUAUGACAAGCCACAAAUGCAAUAUAUAGUGUGAAUGCAGUGUAGUCAUUACAGCUUUCUAUCCAAAACCCUUAAGGAACUGCAUUUAUAGAAGCAUCUGGAGGAAUGGGCAUGUUAAGAAAUGUUUUCUUUCUACUAGGGUGACUAUCAGCAAGUCUAUCCAGCUAACAUACAAAGACCAGGGUUCCCUACUUCUAUAUUACUUUGUUUCCCAAGAAUAUUCCCUUGAUGAGAAUAUAUUGACCUAAAAAAGCUUUAUUAUUGACUUUUUGUUUCCUUUAAGUGUCCCAAAUAGCCCCAUUUAGUUAACUCUUUGGGUUCAUUGGAUUGUUAAAAAGCGAUAAUUCGACAAAUUUUCAUUGAGCACCUACUGUGUUCUAGUUACAUAGUGAGGUGCAGUAGUGAGAACUAAGGCAUAUUUGGAAACUUCCCUUUUAUAUUGUCUGAGAGUUUGUUAAUCUGAAUGAAACUUCAAGGGGUUGCAGAAAUCCUCAGAACCUUGGGGAGUUGCAAUUAAAGUAGAGGGAUUAAGGAAGUCAGACGGACACUCAGACUGCCUAUCCUUUCAUUAAACCCUAUCUGUAGGAUGGCACCUACUGUUAUGUGAGAUGCUAAUUGCAGUCUGGUACCCUUUUCAGAGGUAAAAGGGAGCUGCAUCCUGGAGGGAGGGAAACUUGGUUUUCACACAAGGCCUCAUGGAUCAGUGAGACUUUGCCUUAUACAAAUUAAGCAUCUGAGGUUUUAUAUCUGUCCCAUAAGGAUUUAUUUUGGAAUUACUCUCUCCUUUUGUUAGAUCACCUGCUACUCCUCCAGGUGGACAAUAUGUCCCAUUCAGAAGCUCUCCCUUCACAUCUACUUUGUGUAGAGAAUGUUCAAAAACAUAUAUUAAUUUUUUAAUGGAGUUCUUGGUUUAUUAUACCAAUAUUCCCCUCUUUGCAUUUAUUAAGUACCUGCAGCAGAUAUGAAAAUUUUAUAUGAAAAUUGUCAGCUACAUCUUUUUUUGAUUAGACAUAUAUGUGUGUAUACACACAUACAUAAUCAUAUGCAUGCA
Molecule: long non-coding RNA, 2971 nt
Filed under: Sus scrofa (pig)
Lineage: Eukaryota; Metazoa; Chordata; Mammalia; Artiodactyla; Suidae
Description: lncRNA (ENSSSCG00005011013.1)
Source: RNAcentral